UACGAAGGGUGCAAGCGUUACUCGGAAUUACUGGGCGUAAAGCGUGCGUAGGUGGUUCGUUAAGUCUGAUGUGAAAGCCCUGGGCUCAACCUGGGAAUGGCAUUGGAAACUGGCGACCUAGAGUGCGGUAGAGGGGGGUGGAAUUCCGCGUGUAGCAGUGAAAUGCGUAGAGAUGCGGAGGAACACCGAUGGCGAAGGCAGCCCCCUGGGCUGACACUGACGCUCAGGCACGAAAGCGUGGGGAGCAAACAGG
This 253-nucleotide ribosomal RNA is filed under the name uncultured bacterium. Its description in RNAcentral is "partial 16S ribosomal RNA". It matches the Rfam family "Bacterial small subunit ribosomal RNA", at positions 524 to 776 of the family's 1533-position model. The record is from RNAcentral.